RNAcentral lists this ribosomal RNA (433 nucleotides) under uncultured bacterium. RNAcentral's name for it is "partial 16S ribosomal RNA". It matches the Rfam family "Bacterial small subunit ribosomal RNA", at positions 29 to 507 of the family's 1533-position model. The record is from RNAcentral.
AACGAACGCUGGCUGCAUGCCUAACACAUGCAAGACGAACGAGACCUUCGGGUCUAGUGGCGCACGGGUGCGUAACGCGUGGGAACCUGCCCUUAGGUUCGGAAUAACUCCCCGAAAGGGGUGCUAAUACCGGAUAAUGUCUUCGGACCAAAGAUUUAUCGCCUUUGGAUGGGCCCGCGUUGGAUUAGCUAGUUGGUAGGGUAAAAGCCUACCAAGGCGACGAUCCAUAGCUGGUCUGAGAGGAUGAUCAGCCACACUGGGACUGAGACACGGCCCAGACUCCUACGGGAGGCAGCAGUGGGGAAUAUUGGACAAUGGGCGAAAGCCUGAUCCAGCAAUGCCGCGUGAGUGAUGAAGGCCUUAGGGUUGUAAAGCUCUUUUACCCGGGAUGAUAAUGACAGUACCGGGAUAAUAAGCUCCGGCUAACUCCGUG